This 546-nucleotide long non-coding RNA is filed under the name Homo sapiens (human). RNAcentral describes it as "long independently transcribed non-coding RNA 3017, transcript variant 2 (LINC03017)". The record is from RNAcentral. Lineage: Eukaryota; Metazoa; Chordata; Mammalia; Primates; Hominidae.
ACUUUCUUUUUAAAUGUUUAUGGUAGAAGAACAUCAAGUAUAGUUGUCAACAGACUUCUUAAUAUUACUGGUUGUGCCUGUGCCUCCAAAGCAUGGAUUUGAUAGCUCCAAUAUUGUAAUCUAAAUUUCCUGGCAAUGCCCCCACUGCUGGAUAGAUUGCUGUUGACAGCUUUUGACCAGAGGGAGCCAUUAGAUUUUGCUGGCUAGCAAACAAUUACAGCUUUGAUAUGAGCUACAAGGCUCUACCUCUCCCCUGAGUAUUAGAAGUCUGAAAAGAAGAGCUGUCUCCAUGAAGAUGGGCCAAAUGCCCUCCCUCCUGUGGCUGAUUGUGCUACAUCAUCCCAACAUGAUAAACCAGAAAUCUUUGAGUACCACAUCCUAAUUCUUAUGAAAAUCCAGAUACCAUUGAUAAUCUUUGCAGUAAGCAUGCAAAAAUAUGUAAACUGCUCUUACCAAAGCAAUCUGAAAGCAUAAUUUUUGUGACAAGAAUAAUAACUGUGUGAGAAAUAAAAGCAUUAAUUUUUCAGUGUUUCCAAAAAAAAAAAA